This 255-nucleotide ribosomal RNA is filed under the name uncultured bacterium. RNAcentral's name for it is "partial 16S ribosomal RNA". It matches the Rfam family "Bacterial small subunit ribosomal RNA", at positions 524 to 776 of the family's 1533-position model. The record is from RNAcentral.
UACGUAGGGUGCGAGCGUUGUCCGGAAUUAUUGGGCGUAAAGAGCUCGUAGGCGGUGUGUCACGUCGGCCGUGAAAACCUGGGCUUAACUCUGGGCGUGCGGUCGAUACGGGCAUCACUAGAGUUCGGCAGGGGAGACUGGAAUUCCUGGUGUAGCGGUGGAAUGCGCAGAUAUCAGGAGGAACACCGGUGGCGAAGGCGGGUCUCUGGGCAGUAACUGACGGCUGAGGUGCGGAAAGCGUGGGGAGCAAACAGG